UCGGAGUGUUUCAGGAGUAUUUGUUGAGCAUCCUGGAGCAGAAGAAGCAAAAGGUUGACGUGAAAGUCCAUUUGGGUACAAAGUUUAGCGAGGAGUACCUGAGGAAGAUGCCGAGGGGUGAAUGGCCGCGGGUGAUUGUAGUUGCUGACGGUUCGUGUGGAGACUCCUGCUCUGGUGCUGGGCAUCAGCGCUGAAUUACAUCGUGGAAUCAUGUCGCGCUUACGGCGCCAAUGCUACUAUAGAAAGACCGGACCAGAGACAGGUUCCUACACCAGAGAUCCGUGCACAUAGUUUGUACUUUGAUCUGUCUGCGUACGGGAUCGACACG
Cyprinus carpio (common carp) is the source of this 328-nucleotide long non-coding RNA. RefSeq lists it as uncharacterized. Lineage: Eukaryota; Metazoa; Chordata; Actinopteri; Cypriniformes; Cyprinidae. The transcript is spliced from 3 exons. The record is from RefSeq and is a predicted model, not a curated record.